GACGGACGCUGGCGGCGUGCUUAACACAUGCAAGUCGAACGGAAAGGCCUGCUUUCCCUUGUGGAUUGCGGGUACUCGAGUGGCGAACGGGUGAGUAACACGUGAGUGAUCUGCCCCCAACUUGGGUAUAAGCCUGGGAAACUGGGUCUAAUUCCCGAUAGGACUGCAGGGUGGUGCCUGUGGUGGAAAACGAUUUUCUAGUGGUUGGGGAUGAGCUCGCGGCCUAUCAGCUUGUUGGUGGGGUAAUGGCCUACCAAGGCGGCGACGGGUAGCCGGCCUGAGAGGGUGGACGGCCACAUUGGGACUGAGAUACGGCCCAGACUCCUACGGGAGGCAGCAGUGGGGAAUAUUGCACAAUGGGCGGAAGCCUGAUGCAGCGACGCCGCGUGGGGGAUGACGGCCUUCGGGUGGUAAACUCCUUUCGACCGCGAGGAAGCCACCUGGUUGGAAGGGUGGUGACGGUAGUGGUAGAAGAAGCACCGGCUAACUACGUG
This 494-nucleotide ribosomal RNA is filed under the name uncultured bacterium. Its description in RNAcentral is "partial 16S ribosomal RNA". It matches the Rfam family "Bacterial small subunit ribosomal RNA", at positions 28 to 507 of the family's 1533-position model. The record is from RNAcentral.